Molecule: ribosomal RNA, 945 nt
Filed under: Virgibacillus sp.
Lineage: Bacteria; Bacillati; Bacillota; Bacilli; Caryophanales; Bacillaceae
Description: bacterial SSU rRNA
Rfam family: Bacterial small subunit ribosomal RNA
Source: RNAcentral
UCGAGCGCGGGAAGCAGGCAGAUCCUCUUCGGAGGUGACGCUUGUGGAACGAGCGGCGGACGGGUGAGUAACACGUGGGCAACCUGCCUGUAAGAUUGGGAUAACCCCGGGAAACCGGGGCUAAUACCGGAUAAUACUUUUCGUUGCAUAACGAGAAGUUGAAAGGCGGCUUUUAGCUGUCACUUACAGAUGGGCCCGCGGCGCAUUAGCUAGUUGGUAAGGUAACGGCUUACCAAGGCGACGAUGCGUAGCCGACCUGAGAGGGUGAUCGGCCACACUGGGACUGAGACACGGCCCAGACUCCUACGGGAGGCAGCAGUAGGGAAUCUUCCGCAAUGGACGAAAGUCUGACGGAGCAACGCCGCGUGAGUGAUGAAGGUUUUCGGAUCGUAAAACUCUGUUGUCAGGGAAGAACAAGUGCCGUUCAAAUAGGGCGGCACCUUGACGGUACCUGACCAGAAAGCCCCGGCUAACUACGUGCCAGCAGCCGCGGUAAUACGUAGGGGGCAAGCGUUGUCCGGAAUUAUUGGGCGUAAAGCGCGCGCAGGCGGUCCUUUAAGUCUGAUGUGAAAGCCCACGGCUUAACCGUGGAGGGCCAUUGGAAACUGGAGGACUUGAGUACAGAAGAGGAGAGUGGAAUUCCACGUGUAGCGGUGAAAUGCGUAGAGAUGUGGAGGAACACCAGUGGCGAAGGCGACUCUCUGGUCUGUAACUGACGCUGAGGUGCGAAAGCGUGGGGAGCGAACAGGAUUAGAUACCCUGGUAGUCCACGCCGUAAACGAUGAGUGCUAGGUGUUAGGGGGUUUCCGCCCCUUAGUGCUGAAGUUAACGCAUUAAGCACUCCGCCUGGGGAGUACGGCCGCAAGGCUGAAACUCAAAAGAAUUGACGGGGGCCCGCACAAGCGGUGGAGCAUGUGGUUAAUUCGAAGCACGCGAAANCCUUAC